UACGAGUCCAGGGGUGACCGCAGGAUGGU
This 29-nucleotide non-coding RNA is filed under the name Homo sapiens (human). The record is from RNAcentral. Lineage: Eukaryota; Metazoa; Chordata; Mammalia; Primates; Hominidae.